This 253-nucleotide ribosomal RNA is filed under the name uncultured bacterium. Its description in RNAcentral is "partial 16S ribosomal RNA". It matches the Rfam family "Bacterial small subunit ribosomal RNA", at positions 524 to 776 of the family's 1533-position model. The record is from RNAcentral.
UACGUAGGGACCAAGCGUUGUUCGGAUUUACUGGGCGUAAAGGGCGCGUAGGCGGCGUGGUAAGUCAGCUGUGAAAUCUCCGAGCUUAACUCGGAACGGUCAGCUGAUACUGCUGUGCUAGAGUACAGAAAGGGCAAUCGGAAUUCUUGGUGUAGCGGUGAAAUGCGUAGAUAUCAAGAGGAACACCUGAGGCGAAGGCGGGUUGCUAGGCUGAUACUGACGCUGAGGAGCGAAAGCGUGGGGAGCGAACAGG